UGGGGAAUAUUGCACAAUGGGCGCAAGCCUGAUGCAGCAACGCCGCGUGAGGGACGACGGCCUUCGGGUUGUAAACCUCUUUUAGUAGGGAAGAAGCGAUGUGUUUUACACGGAGUGACGGUACCUGCAGAAAAAGCACCGGCUAACUACGUGCCAGCAGCCGCGGUAAUACGUAGGGUGCAAGCGUUAUCCGGAAUUAUUGGGCGUAAAGAGCUCGUAGGCGGUUUGUCGCGUCUGCUGUGAAAACUGGGGGCUCAACCCCCAGCCUGCAGUGGGUACGGGCAGACUAGAGUGCGGUAGGGGAGAUUGGAAUUCCUGGUGUAGCGGUGGAAUGCGCAGAUAUCAGGAGGAACACCGAUGGCGAAGGCAGAUCUCUGGGCCGUAACUGACGCUGAGGAGCGAAAGCAUGGGGAGCGAACA
This 420-nucleotide ribosomal RNA is filed under the name uncultured bacterium. RNAcentral's name for it is "bacterial SSU rRNA". It matches the Rfam family "Bacterial small subunit ribosomal RNA", at positions 355 to 774 of the family's 1533-position model. The record is from RNAcentral.